This is a long non-coding RNA of Oncorhynchus tshawytscha (Chinook salmon), 2913 nucleotides long. The record is from Ensembl. NCBI's taxonomy places the organism in Eukaryota, Metazoa, Chordata, Actinopteri, Salmoniformes, Salmonidae.
CGAGAACCUAGUUUACAACCCCCUCCCAGAUGUGAAUCAAUGGUGUGAUACAAAAAUGAGAAGUGUUUCUGUUAUGAGAUGCGAUAUGAGGUAAGUUUCACAAAGAUCAAUAAUGUAGCUGUUUAUUAAAAUUUUAAAAAAAUCACAAUAUGACAGAAAUGGCAAUCAAUUCCAUAUUUGAUUAAAUAUAAAUCAGUCAGAUGAGGAUAAAUCGAGCUGCCACAUAUUGGUAUUGCUCAUGCAUAGCAGGUAGAGUGGCAUGCAGAGAAGGGUCCGACUGCAGCCAGUAAACAACAAUGGACCUGAUCGAACAACUCAGCGCUUCUGCUCUUUUCUGUCCAUAAGAAACAAAUGGAUUGGUGGAAGAGGCAGGCCAGGAGCAAGGUGGUCAAGUAAGGCAUCCCCGGAGGCUAAAUGCCCUAAGGUCUGUCCCUGGCCUGUCCCACAGCUUCCUUCAGUGAUGGGUUGUGAGUGGCUCUGUUGAUGAUUGACUGUCUAUUGUUGAUUGAUGUCAGUCCAGACGUAGUGAUUGCUGAUGUAUCUUGGUAGUCUGUAAGCCAUUUUUAUUGCCAUGUUUUGGAUGAUCUGUAGCCGAUUCAUCUGCUGUGGUGAGGCUGUUAUCCAGGCUGGUAGGGCGUAUUCAAAGAGGGAUCGGAUGUAGCUGAUGUAGACUUUCAGCACUGUCUGAGGUGAGGCUCCAUAUUUUCUUUCGCACAGCGUUUUUAGGUGGUUUAGUCUUUUUCGUCCCUGUCUCUCUAUGUUCGCUAUAUGGGUUGUCCAGCGCAUGUUCUUCUGGAAGGUGACUCCAAGGAAUUUUGCUUCUUUUUCUACUUUUAUUGUUUCACCGUAGAGUUUGAGAUCUAUGGGUUUCCUGUUUUUUUUUUGCUGGUGCUUCUUGUGAAGAGGACACAUUGGGUCUUUUGUGGGUUCAAUUUUACUCGCCACAUGUUAGACCAUGUCUCGAUCAUUUCAAUAGACUUCUGGAGUUUUUUUGCAGCAAGUUGAGGACAUUUGGAGCUGGACCAGUAGCAGAGGUUAUCGGCAAAUUGCGAGACUUGACCUAUGGUGGGUGGAGGGUAAUAAAUAUCUGAUAUGUAGAGUAGAAAAAGUAGUGGGCUUAGAACUGCCCCCUGUGGGACACCUGCUUCAGGGGUAAAAGGUGAGGAUAUUGCUGUGGAAGCCUUCACUUUAAUUGUACGAUUGUGGAGAAAGCUAGUGAUGAUGUUUCUGAUGGAGGUGGUAGUUUGAGAUUGGAGUCUGCAAGCCGGUAACACAACCCAUUGUGCCACAUCUUGUCAAAUGAUUUUUCUAUAUCAAAGAAAACCACCAGGGUAAGUGAUUUUUUCUUGAAGUUCCCGAAGGAUGUCCUCUGGCAGUCUUAGAACGUUAUCGGUGUUUGAUUUUGUUUUCCUGAAGCCAGCUUGGUGGAUUCCAAGGAGGCCCAUUUCCUCAGUGUGGCUGCUCAGUCUUUGUGAGUACUCUCUCAAACAGCUUCCCGACAUGACUGAGGAGGCUGAUUGGUCUAUAACUUGUGACGUUGUAUGGGUCUUUGCCAGGUUUGUGGAUCAUUGUGACAACUGCAGAUUUCCAAGGUAGGGGAAAGUAGCCUUCCGUGAGACAUUCUGUGAAGAGGUUAGAAAGAAGGUGCAGGUAUUCAUCAGGUGAUUGUUUGAUGAGUGUGCUGUCAAUGUUGUCUUCCCCAGGUGCUUUGUCUUUUUCAAGUGAGUUUUGAUUUCUUCAAUAGUUUUUUACAUUUUUUUAUUUAUUUUACCUUUAUUUUACUAGGCAAGUCAGUUAAGAACAAAUUCUUAUUUUCAAUGAUGGCCUAGGAACAGUGGGUUAACUGCCUGUUCAGGGGCAGAAUGACAGAUUUGUACCUUGUCAGCUCAGCGGAUUUGAACUUGCAACCUUUCGGUUACUAGUCCAACGCUCUAACCACUAGGCUACCCUGCCGCAGAGCAGGUGAGGGGAUGGUCUACUGGUGUCGGAUUUGAAGUGUAAACUGUUUUCUGUAUUUCUCUGUCGACAAUGUUUUUCCAGUCUUUGUCAAAGAGAGGAUCGUCGGGACAAGAAUGAACAUUUUGUAGGUGGUUUCUGAAUAAUGUUGCUUUUGUUUCGUUGUCUUCGAUGAGUUGGUUUUGAGACUUUAGCACAGGCAUGAUAUUAUUGGUUUUGUCUCCGUUAAUUGUUUAGAUUUAGAGAAGCUAAGGAGUUUAGCAGCCAAGUCCGGGGAGCAGAGGACAAGAUCAAGGAUGUCUGCCAUGGAGGUUGAAGAAUGGAUGUGUGUGGGCUCGUUGGUGUUGAGGAUAGCCAGGUUUGUGCUGUCGAGGAUAUCCCUUAGUACUCAUCCCGCGUGAUUUGUAGUAUCACAGUUGAAGUCAAUGUGUUUGGCAUUAAAAUCUCCCAUUAUGAUGGUAUGGCUGUUGUUGUCUAGAAGGGCAGCGAUCAAUUUUUUGGAGGGUGUUGUUGCGGGUGGACAGUAUAUAGUGGCUACCAGAAGAGUUGUUUGUGCAUUUAGGAGUAUUUUUGCUGCAGUGUACUCAUUGUUGUUGAGUUCUUCUUUGGUGAGGUUGAAAAUGGCGGUUAGCUAUCUCUCUGCCUUCUCGCUGCCAUACUCCUGGUCACUACCAGAUGGUGCUAUUUUACCUACCAGGCUUUGCCAAUUACCCUCAGCUUCAGGUUGUUGACCCUAAAAACAGGGUCAGAUAUUUAUCAUCCCUCCAAUGCAGGAUUCAGGUCAGGAUUGUCGGUAGAGUAAUCUGAUCCUAGAGCUGUUGUUAGGUUAAACUUAUAUUUAAAGUAUAAUAUAUGCAUGACCCCAGUGGGAAUGUUAUGGAAUUAUAACACCAUUAUUACAACAAAUAAAUUAUUAUAAUGAUUGUAAUUUUUGUAAUUAUUUUCAGUGUGGUGAGG